UACGUAGGUGGCAAGCGUUGUCCGGAAUUAUUGGGCGUAAAGCGCGCGCAGGCGGUUCCUUAAGUCUGAUGUGAAAGUCCAAGGCUCAACCUUGAAAUUGCAUGUGAUACUGGCUAGCUUGAGUUCGGUAGAGGAGGGCGGAAUUCCUGGUGUAGCGGUGAAAUGCGUAGAUAUCAGGAGGAACACCUGUGGCGAAGGCGGCUCUCUGGUCCGAUACUGACGCUGAGGCGCGAAAGUUAGGGUAGCAAACAGGAUUAGAAACCCUUGUAGU
Molecule: ribosomal RNA, 271 nt
Filed under: uncultured bacterium
Lineage: Bacteria
Description: partial 16S ribosomal RNA
Rfam family: Bacterial small subunit ribosomal RNA
Source: RNAcentral